Molecule: small RNA, 2027 nt
Filed under: Oryza sativa Japonica Group (Japanese rice)
Lineage: Eukaryota; Viridiplantae; Streptophyta; Magnoliopsida; Poales; Poaceae
Description: sRNA Os06g0294501
Source: RNAcentral
UUUUCAGUUUAAUGUUAGUUUUGAAUCUAUUUAGAUAUUAACAAGACCGAAAUAGCAUGUUCUGCAAUUUAAUUUGUAUUGGGUAGAUUUCUGAAUUUGACAUGUACUGAUUUGAUGAUGCAUCUGGAAAUUGUUAAUUUGGAGUUGUUCUGCCCAUUAUUUCUGUUUAGCAGUUUUUUUGCAACAUAUUCAAAUCCGAGAUGAAUAUGUUUUAUUGUUUGUUUUACUCUUUUAGUUACUUAGCAACUAUACCAAAAUUACAGUGCACUUACAUGCUAAAUCAAAUGUAUUUACAAAUGUAACUUUAGUAAUAUAGCACUGCAAUUUUAUACUAUCAGAGUUAUUAUAUGUCAUAUCAACUAAACUUACAAAUGCAAUUUUAGUUAUAUACAACUGUAAUUUUCUUAAAUUAUAUGUUCUUUGUAUCUGAUUAGUGCAAUUUAAAGAUGUGUGCAUGAUUGUUUCAUAUUCCUUUAAGAAGCUAUGUAUUGUGCAUGAUGUAUUUCUGUUGAAUGUAAUUGUUUCAAAAUGCUUAAUAUGUGCCUGAUGUAUAGCCUCAUAGCUUCAAUUGAAGGAAGAUUAGCAUUGAUUGAUUUGUGCCUGAUCUGUGCCCUAUCAUGUUGAAUGUAAUUUAUGUAUAUGCUUUACUGUUGAUCGAGACUUUAUGAAAUUAUGAUGAGUUAGCAUGUUUAAGUUAUCAAAAUUCACAGUGCAUUUGUACUAAAAUUACAGUGCACUUACAUGCCAUAUAUAUUGUUUAUACAAAAGUAAUUUUAGUUAUAAAGCACUGUAAUUUUUACAAUCAAUGUAUGAGUGUAGGUGGUUUUUAGUUUCUGAACUUUUUAUUAUGUUUCUGACUUAGUAUUCUAGUUCAAGGUAUUUAUGUAUUUGUAUACUUUGAGGUAUGAAUGGAUUUUGCUUAUGGACGUUGCUUGUUCAGUGUUUUGUCUGUUUUGAUGUUUGGGCCAGAUUUGCAGCCAUGUUGUAUCUGUUUAUUAGUCUGCGUUGGCCCAAUCAUAUUUUGGCCUUUUUUUUUUGCCUGUCUAUUUUUUUUAAGUCCAUUGGAUGCAAAUCUAAGGGGAUAAAAAAAUCUAGGUGAUUGUUUCCUCAAAAAUCACACGACAGAUGCAUAGGCAGUUCCUACACAGUUUGUAUUUUAAUAUUAUGAGAAAUAGUGUAAGUGGAAAUACAAUUUAAAAAUAAUUUAAAUUUAUAUUAAAUAUAUAUUAUAGAAUAAGAGUUCAGGCAAGAGUUCAAUUUGGAAAUAUUUGAAAUUCAGAUAAAAACUAAAUAUAAGAGAUAGAGUCGAUGUAGAAAAAUAAAAUGUUGACGUAUCUUAAAUUAAGGUUGAAAAUAAAUAUUGUUCGGAAAUAAGUUCAUAAGAAGUAAAAUUUAUACUAGAAAAAAAAUCCAAUUUAAUGAAUAAUUUUUGAAAUGUACGAAAUUUGCAAUAAAAAAUUAAUUGGAUCAAAAGAAGAGUCUAUUUAGAAGUAGAAUUUAGAAAAAUCUUAAAGUUAUAUUAAAAAUUUAAAAAUUAUUAAUAUUGAGAUAAGGAAACAUCUAUAAAUACAAUUUACGGUUAUAUAAUUUAGUUUUAAUAAUAAAAAAUAUUUAAUAUUGAGAAAAGAGUCCAUCUAGAAAUAAAAUUUAGAAGCUUUUAAAACUUUGGAUUAAAAAUAAAUAUUAUGGAGAAACGAGUUAAUGCAAGAGUAUAUUCUAGAUUUAGAUUAAAAGUAAAUAAUAUGAAGAGAAAGAGUCCACGCAGAUAUGGAAUCUAGAAUUAUCUUAAAUUCAGGUUGAAAUAAGAAAAUAAAUAGUAUUGAGAAAAGAUUGUAUGUAGAGUACAAUUUAAAAAAAUAAUAAUCUCAAUAAAAAUAAAUAAUAUUGACAGAAGAUUUCAUACCUAUGAGAUGAAAAGUAGCUAGAAAUCCUCACAUUAAUUUAAAAUUCUUAGAAUUCACAUAUCAAUGAAAGAAAAAGAAAUAGCUUGAUGGCCCAAUUUAAAUAAAAAAUACACUAACAAAUGA